CAUAUCAAUAAGCGGAGGAAAAGAAACCAACAGGGAUUGCCUCAGUAACGGCGAGUGAAGCGGCAACAGCUCAAAUUUGAAAUCUGGCGUCAGCCCGAGUUGUAAUUUGGAGAGGAUGCUUCUGGGCAGCGGCCGGUCUAAGUUCCUUGGAACAGGACGUCAUAGAGGGUGAGAAUCCCGUAUGCGACCGGUUGGCACCCGCCACGUAGCUCCUUCGACGAGUCGAGUUGUUUGGGAAUGCAGCUCUAAAUGGGUGGUAAAUUCCAUCUAAAGCUAAAUACCGGCCAGAGACCGAUAGCGCACAAGUAGAGUGAUCGAAAGAUGAAAAGCACUUUGGAAAGAGAGUUAAACAGCACGUGAAAUUGUUGAAAGGGAAGCGCAUGCGACCAGACUUGCCGACGGUGUUCCCCCGGUCUUCUGACCGGGUCACUCGCCGCCGGCAGGCCAGCAUCGUGUGGGCGCGCCGGACAAAGGCGCCGGGAAUGUGGCCCCAUGAGGGGUGUUAUAGUCCGGCGCACAAUACGGCGCCGCCCGCGCGAGGUCCGCGCUUCGGCUAGGAUGCUGGCGUAAUGGUCGUAUGCGGCCCGUCUUGAAACACGGACCAAGGAGUCUAACAUCUGUGCGAGUGUUCGGGCGUCAAACCCCUACGCGGAAUGAAAGUGAACGGAGGUGGGAGCUUCGGCGCACCAUCGACCGAUCCUGAUGUCCUCGGAUGGAUUUGAGUAAGAGCAUAGCUGUUGGGACCCGAAAGAUGGUGAACUAUGCCUGAAUAGGGUGAAGCCAGAGGAAACUCUGGUGGAGGCUCGCAGCGGUUCUGACGUGCAAAUCGAUCGUCAAAUUUGGGUAUAGGGG
This 852-nucleotide ribosomal RNA is filed under the name Austrostigmidium mastodiae. Its description in RNAcentral is "eukaryotic LSU rRNA". It matches the Rfam family "Eukaryotic large subunit ribosomal RNA", at positions 39 to 923 of the family's 3401-position model. Lineage: Eukaryota; Fungi; Ascomycota; Dothideomycetes; Mycosphaerellales; Teratosphaeriaceae. The record is from RNAcentral.